Non-coding RNA from Acanthosepion pharaonis, 87 nucleotides. Lineage: Eukaryota; Metazoa; Mollusca; Cephalopoda; Sepiida; Sepiidae. The record is from the annotation of a GenBank genome assembly.
CGUUGAAAUACCAGUUCAUGUACGAUCACCGACGUUAAGCAAUGUCGAGUCUGGUCAGUACCAAGAUGGGUGACUGCUUGGGAAUAC